This 253-nucleotide ribosomal RNA is filed under the name uncultured bacterium. Its description in RNAcentral is "partial 16S ribosomal RNA". It matches the Rfam family "Bacterial small subunit ribosomal RNA", at positions 524 to 776 of the family's 1533-position model. The record is from RNAcentral.
GACGGAGGAUGCAAGCGUUAUCCGGAAUUAUUGGGCGUAAAGCGUCCGCAGGUGGCUGUUCAAGUCUGCUGUCAAAGCGCAGAGCUUAACUCUGUACAGGCGGUGGAAACUGAAGAGCUAGAGUAUGGUAGGGGUAGAGGGAAUUCCCGGUGUAGCGGUGAAAUGCGUAGAUAUCGGGAAGAACACCAGUGGCGAAAGCGAUCUACUGGGCCAUAACUGACACUGAGGGACGAAAGCUAGGGGAGCGAAAGGG